RNAcentral lists this ribosomal RNA (122 nucleotides) under Hadesarchaea archaeon. The record is from RNAcentral. Lineage: Archaea; Methanobacteriati; Hadarchaeota (SeqCode); Hadarchaeia (SeqCode).
GUUGGCGGCCAAAGCGGUGGGGCUACACCCGGACUCAUUCCGAACCCGGAAGUUAAGCCCGCCAGCGAUCCGAGUGGUACUGCAGUGCGAGAGCCUGUGGAAAGCUCGGGACGCUGCCAGCC